RNAcentral lists this ribosomal RNA (765 nucleotides) under uncultured Streptococcus sp. RNAcentral describes it as "bacterial SSU rRNA". It matches the Rfam family "Bacterial small subunit ribosomal RNA", at positions 28 to 776 of the family's 1533-position model. The record is from RNAcentral. Lineage: Bacteria; Bacillati; Bacillota; Bacilli; Lactobacillales; Streptococcaceae.
GACGAACGCUGGCGGCGUGCCUAAUACAUGCAAGUAGAACGCUGAAGAGAGGAGCUUGCUCUUCUUGGAAGAGUUGCGAACGGGUGAGUAACGCGUAGGUAACCUGCCUUGUAGCGGGGGAUAACUAUUGGAAACGAUAGCUAAUACCGCAUAACAAUGGGUGACCCAUGUCAUUCAUUUGAAAGGGGCAACUGCUCCACUACAAGAUGGACCUGCGUUGUAUUAGCUAGUAGGUGAGGUAACGGCUCACCUAGGCGACGAUACAUAGCCGACCUGAGAGGGUGAUCGGCCACACUGGGACUGAGACACGGCCCAGACUCCUACGGGAGGCAGCAGUAGGGAAUCUUCGGCAAUGGGGGCAACCCUGACCGAGCAACGCCGCGUGAGUGAAGAAGGUUUUCGGAUCGUAAAGCUCUGUUGUAAGUCAAGAACGAGUGUGAGAGUGGAAAGUUCACACUGUGACGGUAGCUUACCAGAAAGGGACGGCUAACUACGUGCCAGCAGCCGCGGUAAUACGUAGGUCCCGAGCGUUGUCCGGAUUUAUUGGGCGUAAAGCGAGCGCAGGCGGUUUGAUAAGUCUGAAGUUAAAGGCUGUGGCUCAACCAUAGUUCGCUUUGGAAACUGUCAAACUUGAGUGUAGAAGGGGAGAGUGGAAUUCCAUGUGUAGCGGUGAAAUGCGUAGAUAUAUGGAGGAACACCGGUGGCGAAAGCGGCUCUCUGGUCUGUAACUGACGCUGAGGCUCGAAAGCGUGGGGAGCGAACAGG